This 22-nucleotide ribosomal RNA is filed under the name Cystoisospora felis. RNAcentral describes it as "large subunit ribosomal RNA". The record is from RNAcentral. Lineage: Eukaryota; Apicomplexa; Conoidasida; Eucoccidiorida; Sarcocystidae.
UAUAGAUAGCGUGAAAGCUCAA